AAGUGAUUUCAGCUCUUGUAGUAUUUGUCCAGCAGGUUUCCCGUCGCGCAGGAAGCCUAA
This 60-nucleotide small nuclear RNA is filed under the name Balearica regulorum gibbericeps (East African grey crowned-crane). RNAcentral describes it as "Balearica pavonina gibbericeps U7 small nuclear RNA". It matches the Rfam family "U7 small nuclear RNA". Rfam says of the family: Animal histone pre-mRNAs are spliced by a different mechanism than nuclear pre-mRNAs and self-splicing introns. Lineage: Eukaryota; Metazoa; Chordata; Aves; Gruiformes; Gruidae. The record is from Rfam by way of RNAcentral.